RNAcentral lists this small nucleolar RNA (88 nucleotides) under Bicyclus anynana (squinting bush brown). RNAcentral describes it as "misc RNA ENSINYG00000026233.1". It matches the Rfam family "Small nucleolar RNA snR60/Z15/Z230/Z193/J17". From Rfam's summary of the family: The members of this family belong to the C/D class of snoRNAs which contain the C (UGAUGA) and D (CUGA) box motifs. Most of the members of the box C/D family function in directing site-specific 2'-O-methylation of substrate RNAs. The record is from RNAcentral. Lineage: Eukaryota; Metazoa; Arthropoda; Insecta; Lepidoptera; Nymphalidae.
UCUAACCUAAUGAUGACUCCAUAGUUCAUCUGAGACACCUUGAUGUAUAACACUCAUGUCUUUCGCUCCUAUCUGAUUCAAAAUUAUA